Molecule: ribosomal RNA, 453 nt
Filed under: uncultured Comamonas sp.
Lineage: Bacteria; Pseudomonadati; Pseudomonadota; Betaproteobacteria; Burkholderiales; Comamonadaceae
Description: bacterial SSU rRNA
Rfam family: Bacterial small subunit ribosomal RNA
Source: RNAcentral
GCACAAGCGUGGAUGAUGUGGUUUAAUUCGAUGCAACGCGAAAACCUUACCCACCUUUGACAUGUACGGAAUCCUUUAGAGAUAGAGGAGUGCUCGAAAGAGAGCCGUAACACAGGUGCUGCAUGGCUGUCGUCAGCUCGUGUCGUGAGAUGUUGGGUUAAGUCCCGCAACGAGCGCAACCCUUGUCAUUAGUUGCUACGAAAGGGCACUCUAAUGAGACUGCCGGUGACAAACCGGAGGAAGGUGGGGAUGACGUCAAGUCCUCAUGGCCCUUAUAGGUGGGGCUACACACGUCAUACAAUGGUCGGUACAGAGGGUUGCCAACCCGCGAGGGGGAGCUAAUCCCACAAAGCCGAUCGUAGUCCGGAUCGCAGUCUGCAACUCGACUGCGUGAAGUCGGAAUCGCUAGUAAUCGUGGAUCAGCAUGUCACGGUGAAUACGUUCCCGGGUCUU